GACGAACGCUGGCGGCGUGCUUAACACAUGCAAGUCGAACGGAAAGGCCCUGCUUUUGUGGGGUGCUCGAGUGGCGAACGGGUGAGUAACACGUGAGUAACCUGCCCUUGACUUUGGGAUAACUUCAGGAAACUGGGGCUAAUAUCGGAUAGGAGCUCCUGCUGCAUGGUGGGGGGUGGAAAGUUUCGGCGGUCGGGGAUGGACUCGCGGCUUAUCAGCUUGUUGGUUGGGUAGUGGCUGACCCAGGCUUUGACGGGUAGCCGGCCUGAGAGGGUGACCGGCCACAUUGGGACUGAGAUACGGACCAGACUCCAACGGGAGGCAGCGGUGGGGAAUAUUGCACAAUGGGCGGAAGCCUGAUGCAGCAACGCCGCGUGCGGGAUGACGGCCUUCGGGUUGUAAACCGCUUUCGCCUGUGACGAAGCGUGAGUGACGGUAAUGGGUAAAGAAGCACCGGCUAACUACGUG
Molecule: ribosomal RNA, 468 nt
Filed under: uncultured bacterium
Lineage: Bacteria
Description: partial 16S ribosomal RNA
Rfam family: Bacterial small subunit ribosomal RNA
Source: RNAcentral